AGAACGAACGCUGGCGGCAGGCCUAACACAUGCAAGUCGAACGCGAUCUUCGGAUCGAGUGGCGCACGGGUGAGUAACGCGUGGGAAUCUGCCCUGUGGUACGGAAUAACAUCGGGAAACUGGUGCUAAUACCGUAUAUCCCCUGAGGGGGAAAGAUUUAUCGCCAUGGGAGGAGCCCGCGUAGGAUUAGCUAGUUGGUGAGGUAACGGCUCACCAAGGCGACGACCCUUAGCUGGUCUGAGAGGAUGAUCAGCCACACUGGGACUGAGAUACGGCCCAGACUCCUACGGGAGGCAGCAGUGGGAAUAUUGGACAAUGGGGGAAACCCUGAUCCAGCCAUGCCGCGUGUGUGAUGAAGGCCUUCGGGUUGUAAAGCACUUUCGCACGUGACGAUGAUGACGGUAACGUGAGAAGAAGCCCGGCUAACUACGUGCCAGCAGCCGC
This 444-nucleotide ribosomal RNA is filed under the name uncultured bacterium. RNAcentral describes it as "SSU rRNA". It matches the Rfam family "Bacterial small subunit ribosomal RNA", at positions 26 to 518 of the family's 1533-position model. The record is from RNAcentral.